ACUCAAAGGAAUAGACGGGGGCCCGCACAAGCGGAGGAGCAUGUGGUUUAAUUCGAUGAUACGCGAGGAACCUUACCCGGGCUUGAAUUGCAGUGGAAGAUACUGGAAACAUUAUCGUCUUCGGACCACUGUGAAGGUGCUGCAUGGUUGUCGUCAGCUCGUGCCGUGAGGUGUUAGGUUAAGUCCUGCAACGAGCGCAACCCUUACACUUAGUUGCCAGCACGUCAAGGUGGGAACUCUAAGUGAACUGCCUACGCAAGUAGAGAGGAAGGUGGGGAUGACGUCAAAUCAGCACGGCCCUUAUGUUCGGGGCUACACACGUGCUACAAUGGUCGGUACAGAGGGCAGCUACCCCGCGAGGGGAUGCGAAUCUCAAAAGCCGAUCUCAGUUCGGAUCGGAGUCUGUAACUCGACUCCGUGAAGUUGGAUUCGCUAGUAAUCGCACAUCAGCCAUGGUGCGGUGAAUACGUUCCCGGGCCUUGUACACACCGCCCGU
Molecule: ribosomal RNA, 496 nt
Filed under: uncultured bacterium
Lineage: Bacteria
Description: bacterial SSU rRNA
Rfam family: Bacterial small subunit ribosomal RNA
Source: RNAcentral